AUCAUCAGUGGCCCCUGAUACAAACACACACAUCCAUCAGCAGUUGAUCCUGAUACAAACACACACUGCACACUAACUGAUCCAUUGGAAACUUGAGGAAAGUAUCUCAAUUGUCCUGUUUCAUGUGCUAGGUUAUAGUAUCCUAAUCUCAUUAUAUUGAGAUUGAAAGAUUGCAACACAAGUUUCUGCAAGAGAACCAUUAGUAAAAGUUGAGGAGUAAAAGAGAAGUUAAAGGAAACUUAAAAAUACCCUAGUGUAGUGUCCUGAAACAUCUGCUAGACAGUAAAUCUAUUGUUUAAAUGUAUGAUUACUAGUAAUUUGAAACUAGCCAAUCUAA
Molecule: long non-coding RNA, 337 nt
Organism: Amphimedon queenslandica
Lineage: Eukaryota; Metazoa; Porifera; Demospongiae; Haplosclerida; Niphatidae
Exons: 2
Source: RefSeq, a predicted model, not a curated record